UCUACCAUGGGUGUGGGCUCUGGGCUGGGGGUGGACUCUGGAUGCUGAGUCAGGGGGUGGGGGGUCAUAAAAAGAUCAUGGCUUGGGUGGGGUAAGCUGUGGGCUGGCCUGUGACCUGCAGCUGCCUCUUCUGUCCUAUGGGUGCUUUGAGGGGAAAGCUCACCUGUGAAGGUGCACUGAUAGCUUCUUCCCCUGCCUGCUUUACCAAGCAGGUAUAAUAAGCAAACACAUAACCACCCUAGAAAAUCCAGAUAUUUCAUAAAGAUAUUUUCCUACAAUUCAAAUCAUUAUUAACUAACAUCUUGAUAUACAUAUAUAACAAAAGCCACCGGAUAUAGCUACACUAAUACAAUGGUCCAAUUUUUGUAAUACGCUGUAACAUGCUUCUAUAAGGGUCUACAGGAUGCUCCGUUGGUCAAAUACCUCUCUUAUAUUUAUGAUGGUAUAAUAAUCCGUGGACUGAAGGGAGGUAUUAGAAUUGAACCAGUACCAUAUGAAUGGGUAUUUGUGUCCUUCAGUCAUUUUCUCUUAAAUCCUGAUAGGCGACACCUCACUGCCCCCAGCCCCCAUUUAGCAGAUGAACACACACCUACUUAGGGUCAUAAACCAGCUCUGAGCCUCUGCCAGGGGCCGAGAGGGGACGAAGAUCCUGGGGCUGACAGCUACCCCUUUACAGAGUUGCGGAGAGAAGGGGACACCUAUGUUGUGAUUGCAGGGCCCCUUAAAGUCUAGAAGCCUCCCAUGUCAUGGUUUAAAGGUAGGUGCAGGGCUGGAAGGCAGCCUAGACCCUGAAAGGACUGGUCCCCCCACCACCAUCCAGGUUCACAGACACUUGUUGUUGGUCUUGUCCCCUCUGCCCUGUCCUGUCCCCAUCUUCCUUGCCUGCUCCUGGCUUUUCUUCCAACCUUGAUGAGUAACUGUGGGCUCAGGGUCACUUCUAGAUGCCCCGCACGGCCUGCCUGACAUCACCAGGCAGCCCUGUGGUGCUCCCCUGCCCCGUCCUCUCCAGCCUCCUGUUAAGACGCUGCAGGACUUGCUGGUGGUGGUCCUGGCUGUCAGCUGCGUCACUCUGCUGCUGGUCCUGCUCCUGCUGACCCUGAGGAUGGUAUUGGAGGCCUCCCAGCUGAGCUGACUUCUAGGCUGGCUGGGGAACAUGCUGAGGUGGGUCAGGGCCAGGCCGGACACCGAGGAGAGGCAGCCGGUGGCCAGGGCAAUGGAGAGACCAUCUGAGGAGGAGACUGAUGGAGGGUCCCAGACAACCACUGAGGAAAGCGGGGAGGCAAGGGGCUCUUCAGGAGACCACUAAAUCACCCUUUAUAUCCACAGAAUAAAGCUUUCUACUUCUCUAGUGCUCUGGUCUUGCCUUAACACCCUCUGGCACUUGUGUGUAUUGGUACCACGUGUUGGGAACAAAGCUGACCUGAACUGUGUGAUGUGAAAGUGAAUUCUCUGGAGAAGCUGUGGCAGCACUGGGUUCCUGGAGAAGAAGAUGGGGUCUGGUGCCUAAUUAGCAGCAGCCCAGAAGGUUGCCCUGGCCGGGGGUCUGCACGGACACCUCCUGCACACUCAGAACUGGAGCAAAGGAUCUUGCCCCUGGCCCCCGUCCGCAGCCCCCAGCUCAGAGAGUUGGCCGUCUUGUCCUGUUCUGACAAGUUGCUGCAGUAACGUGAAUUAGUGGUGGGAGUGAGCAGGUGGGAGGAGGGGGGCUUUAGCUCCAGUCCUAUUUCUGCCACCCAUGAGCUGAAGGAAACAAGGCCAGUGCAUUUUUGGAGCUGUUUUUCAUUUAUAAAAUGUGUGCAUUUGUGGAGCUGGACUAGCAGCUGCUGAACAUUAGCUUGAAUGGUCUCAGAGUCAGGACUCCUAUUCUGCCCAUGGGUGGGCUCACACCAGUGGGCUCGGCCCUCAGCUCAUUCCCAAGGAAACUCAAGUCCUUGGUUCCCAUCCAGCCACACAUUCUCUCUGUAAUUCAGCUCCUCCUGUCGAGAGAUGUGUCCAGACCUGGGGCUCGGGCCAGCAGCUCCAUGUCUCUGACUUGGAGCAGGAACAUGCUGGGGCCCUGGUGUCUCCCCUAGUCACCCAGGGUUGUGGUGGGUGUCAAGGGUCACGCUUCUCGGAGGCCAUAUGAGCAGUGGACCGGAUGCUGGGCUUUGAAGCACAAGCCCUGCCUGCUCUGCUGAGCAAAGUUUCCUUGGAUGAGGAUGAACUGCUUGAUUAGCACUGUGGGUCUCCAUUGUUCCAGCGGCAUAACACGUCCUCUGCCCACAAACUGGGAUUGGAGAGGGUGACGUCCAAGACCCUUCCCCUUGACAACCUAGAACAAACAACUCAUUCCUUCUCUCCUUCUCUGUAAAAGUGGGGUCUUAGGAGGUGCUAUUAUGGGGCAAUUAAGAGCAAUGCCUUUGGAAUUAAAAAAAAAACAAAACGUGUUUGUUAGCCAUCUGCGUGUCUUCUUUGGGGAAAUGUCUAUUUAGGUCUUCUGCACAUCUGUGGAUUGGGUUAUUUGCUUUUUUGGUAUUAAGCUGCAUGAGCUGCUUGUGUAUUUUAGAGUGUAAUCCUUUGUCAGUUGCUUCGUUGGCAAAUAUUUUCUCCCAUUCUGAGGGCUGUCUUCCAGUCUUGUUUAUGGUUUCUUUUGCUGUGCAAAAGUUUUUGU
Hippopotamus amphibius kiboko is the source of this 2650-nucleotide long non-coding RNA. RefSeq lists it as uncharacterized. Lineage: Eukaryota; Metazoa; Chordata; Mammalia; Artiodactyla; Hippopotamidae. The record is from RefSeq and is a predicted model, not a curated record. The transcript has 3 exons.